AUCCAAGUGUGUUGCAGUUCCGCC
RNAcentral lists this non-coding RNA (24 nucleotides) under Arabidopsis thaliana (thale cress). The record is from RNAcentral. Lineage: Eukaryota; Viridiplantae; Streptophyta; Magnoliopsida; Brassicales; Brassicaceae.